Anthonomus grandis grandis is the source of this 563-nucleotide long non-coding RNA. RefSeq lists it as uncharacterized. NCBI's taxonomy places the organism in Eukaryota, Metazoa, Arthropoda, Insecta, Coleoptera, Curculionidae. The record is from RefSeq and is a predicted model, not a curated record. The transcript has 3 exons.
UACUAUAGUUUUACACUAAAACUUAAAAAUGUGAUACCUCCCUGUUUAUUUAUUAUACAUGCUAAAUUUACUUUGUUUAGAUACAGCGCUUGACCUUAUGUUGUCACAUGUAAUAAUAGUACAACAAAUAAUUACGUUAUUCUUACCUCGACAUCAAACUUGUUGCAUAAUUUCAACCUUAUCACACUGUUACUUAUAACUUUUGUAGGAAAGUUCUCAGGCAAACGUCUUGCUUUCAUGUUAUUUUAAAUAUUUUUUAUAUUCGACAGCCUGCGAUACUGAACAACUACUGACAUAUACCUAGUCUGUUGUCAGACUAGGUAUAUGUCAGUAGUCACUCCAGAGAACCGAUCGAAGCGUCAGCAAUAACCGACCGAGGUAAGCCCCACAGUCCGUACAUCGCUCCGCCGCUGUUGCCAGUAUGAUACACGGCGUUGCGUGCCGGACCGUUACAUGGUAACGCUGUGGACUCCUUAAUAAAGUGCAGAGGGUUACGUGUCGGACCGUUACGAGAUAGCACCCUGCAUUGGAUAUUAUCCCGUUAUUCCCAACCUGACAACAUU